This 510-nucleotide ribosomal RNA is filed under the name uncultured bacterium. RNAcentral's name for it is "partial 16S ribosomal RNA". It matches the Rfam family "Bacterial small subunit ribosomal RNA", at positions 28 to 507 of the family's 1533-position model. The record is from RNAcentral.
GACGAACGCUGGCGGCGUGCUUAACACAUGCAAGUCGAACGAAGAGCGAUGGAAUCUUGCUUCUAUCAAUCUUAGUGGCGGACGGGUGAGUAACGCGUAAUCAACCUGCCCUUCAGAGGGGGACAACAGUUGGAAACGACUGCUAAUACCGCAUACGAUCUAAUCUCGGCAUCGAGGGUAGAUGAAAGGUGGCCUCUACAUGUAAGCUAUCACUGAAGGAGGGGAUUGCGUCUGAUUAGCUAGUUGGAGGGGUAACGGCGCACCAAGGCGAUGAUCAGUAGCCGGUCUGAGAGGAUGAACGGCCACAUUGGGACUGAGACACGGCCCAGACUCCUACGGGAGGCAGCAGUGGGGAAUCUUCCGCAAUGGACGAAAGUCUGACGGAGCAACGCCGCGUGAGUGAGGACGGCCGUCGGGUUGUAAAGCUCUGUUAAUCGGGACGAAAGGCCUUCUUGCGAAUAGGGAGAAGGAUUGACGGUACCGGAAGAGAAAGCCACGGCUAACUACGUG